This 72-nucleotide transfer RNA is filed under the name Ictidomys tridecemlineatus (thirteen-lined ground squirrel). RNAcentral describes it as "Spermophilus tridecemlineatus (thirteen-lined ground squirrel) tRNA". It matches the Rfam family "tRNA". Rfam says of the family: Transfer RNA (tRNA) molecules are approximately 80 nucleotides in length. Their secondary structure includes four short double-helical elements and three loops (D, anti-codon, and T loops). The record is from Rfam by way of RNAcentral. Lineage: Eukaryota; Metazoa; Chordata; Mammalia; Rodentia; Sciuridae.
GAGAUUGUGGCUCAGUGGUAGAAUAUUUGCCUAGCAUGCAAGAUACCCUGGGUUCAAUACCCAGCAGAAACA